Molecule: long non-coding RNA, 800 nt
Organism: Musa acuminata AAA Group (dessert banana)
Lineage: Eukaryota; Viridiplantae; Streptophyta; Magnoliopsida; Zingiberales; Musaceae
Exons: 2
Source: RefSeq, a predicted model, not a curated record
UCCUGUUAUUGCCUGCCAUCACGGUGCCCUUGUGCAGGGACCUCGAUGCCAAUCUCAUCUCCCUUCCCUCUCCAACCUUCUCUCUUUAAAGGGACUGGAGAAUAUGGCUUGUUCUUCCUUGCAUCAACCACAAGAAAGAUGGCAUGAGAACAUGAUGGAAUUUUCAAUGACCAUGACCAUGAGGGUGCUGUGCUAAGCUGGAUGAGGUACAAAAACAGAUUGCUUGACACACAUACUGAUGUCGUAUUAGCAUCAUAUUCCUCCUACAAAGUGAGGUGAUUGGUAAUUUUCGAUCCGGGCAGACCAAUCCUCUUUUUGUGGUUCAGGUACUCCUCCUCUUAAGCCACCUACUCUUCUUUUCGAUCUGACAAGAGAUCGAUACAAGUCUGGUACAUGAGAUAAUAUUUGUUGAGCAGUUCCAUUUUGUUGGCAUGUUGAAGAAAUAAUAUAAGCUGCAAAACUGUGCUACCAUAUUAUAAAUGGAAGCACAACCAUGCAGAGUGUGGAUGAAGGGAGAGUUGCCACCGGACUCCUUGGAAUGAGAGAAAGCUUAUAUUAAGGCGCAAGAGUGAGAACUCUCUGAGCACCAACUUCCAUGGUUUUUUAUGUGUACAACAAGUAAGGUGGGGGGCAUUGGAAUGGUUGCCAGUAGUCAUCGUCAUUUUUAUAUAUAGCUUCUUGUCUGUCCGAAAGGCUAUCAUGCAAGAAAGUAAGUAAAGGCUUUGUUAACUUCAAGGAUUUGUCGGAUAUUGAUCUGAGGUGUAUGAUCAAGUAUCGAUAUCCAAAUACAUCAUUUGAUA